Molecule: long non-coding RNA, 378 nt
Organism: Myxocyprinus asiaticus (Chinese sucker)
Lineage: Eukaryota; Metazoa; Chordata; Actinopteri; Cypriniformes; Catostomidae
Exons: 4
Source: RefSeq, a predicted model, not a curated record
AUUCUUCUCAUUUCAUCAAGGCUUUUGUAUAUUGUUUUUAAAAUAACCUCAAAUUCUCUAACAGAACUCCAAAAAAGAAGCAUCCAGUCAAAUGAACAAGUUGGCAAGUUGUAAAUGUGUAUGUAAAUGCAAUAAAAGGCCAGUGAGACAGAAGAUGAUUUGUCUUUGUACUGUCAAGAAAUCAUCGCUGAAGACCCUGAAGAAAUGACAGAUGUUAAUCUUCAGACACCUGUGAAAACCAAACACUGCUUUUCUCCAAACCCUGAAGUAAUAAGACUGAACUUCAUCCUCCAUCAAUGACAUUGACUGAACUAAAGUAUAAUACAGUAUAACCGGGGGAAUCUCAACAGAGGAGGCUGUUUAGCGGAUCAUGGGAGG